This 244-nucleotide long non-coding RNA is filed under the name Lathyrus oleraceus (garden pea). RNAcentral's name for it is "Pisum sativum (pea) long non-coding RNA (PSAT_LNC028462)". Lineage: Eukaryota; Viridiplantae; Streptophyta; Magnoliopsida; Fabales; Fabaceae. The record is from RNAcentral.
AACUCAACUUGGACAUAUGGAGAUGGUGAAGAUGAUGAGAAGAAGAUGAGAUGAUGUUGGUGAAGAUGAUGACCAUUCAUGGUGGUUUCUUCUUUUUUCCUCCCAAGCUCUUCUCUCCCUCUUUCUUUCUUUCGUUCUCUUCUCCUCUUUUUUUCUCUUCUUUACUCUUCUUUUCCCUUUUCUUUCUGAUAUCUCUCUUUCUCUUCCUACCUACUCUUCCUUUUUAUCUUCAUUCUUAUCCACU